RNAcentral lists this ribosomal RNA (508 nucleotides) under uncultured bacterium. RNAcentral's name for it is "partial 16S ribosomal RNA". It matches the Rfam family "Bacterial small subunit ribosomal RNA", at positions 28 to 523 of the family's 1533-position model. The record is from RNAcentral.
GUUGAACGCUGGCGGCAUGCCUUACACAUGCAAGUCGAACGGCAGCGGGGGAGAAGCUUGCUUUUCCUGCCGGCGAGUGGCGAACGGGUGAGUAAUACAUCGGAACGUGCCCUGUAGUGGGGGAUAACUAGUCGAAAGAUUAGCUAAUACCGCAUACGACCUGAGGGUGAAAGUGGGGGACCGCAAGGCCUCAUGCUAUAGGAGCGGCCGAUGUCUGAUUAGCUAGUUGGUGGGGUAAAGGCCUACCAAGGCGACGAUCAGUAGCUGGUCUGGGAGAACGAGAGGGCACACUGGGACUGAGGAACGGCCCAGACUCCUACGGGAGGCAGCAGGGGGGAACUUUGGACGAUGGGCGAAAGCCUGAUCCAGCAAUGCCGCGUGUGUGAAGAAGGCCUUCGGGUUGUAAAGCACUUUUGUCCGGAAAGAAAUGGCUCUGGUUAAUACCUGGGGUCGAUGACGGUACCGGAAGAAUAAGGACCGGCUAACUACGUGCCAGCAGCCGCCGUAA